This 301-nucleotide ribosomal RNA is filed under the name uncultured bacterium. Its description in RNAcentral is "partial 16S ribosomal RNA". It matches the Rfam family "Bacterial small subunit ribosomal RNA", at positions 510 to 808 of the family's 1533-position model. The record is from RNAcentral.
AGCCGCCGCGGGAAUACGUAGGGUCCGAGCGUUGUCCGGAAUUAUUGGGCGUAAAGGGCUCGUAGGCGGUUUGUUGCGUCGGGAGUGAAAUCCUACAGCUUAACUGUGGGCUUGCUUUCGAUACGGGCAGACUUGAGGCAUUCAGGGGAGAACGGAAUUCCUGGUGUAGCGGUGAAAUGCGCAGAUAUCAGGAGGAACACCAGUGGCGAAGGCGGUUCUCUGGGAAUGUUCUGACGCUGAGGAGCGAAAGUGUGGGGAGCGAACAGGAUUAGAGACCCGAGUAGUCCCUGUCUCUUAUACC